GUGCAUUAAUUGGAAGAACA
Molecule: microRNA, 20 nt
Filed under: Oryza sativa (Asian cultivated rice)
Lineage: Eukaryota; Viridiplantae; Streptophyta; Magnoliopsida; Poales; Poaceae
Also listed under: 1 other name
Description: osa-miR2093-5p
Source: miRBase by way of RNAcentral